This 738-nucleotide non-coding RNA is filed under the name Toxonevra saltuum. The record is from RNAcentral. Lineage: Eukaryota; Metazoa; Arthropoda; Insecta; Diptera; Pallopteridae.
AUGUAAAUUUUUGUAUGAAUUUUUAUUUAUUUUAAUAAUAAAUAUAUUUAUUUUAGUCGCAGUAAUUAAUAUUAUUUAUUAAAGAAAUUUAGAUAUAGUGAUAUUAUUUAGUAUUGGCAAAAUUUGUGCCAGCAGUCGCGGUUAUACAAAUAAUACGAAUAAAUUUUUUUCAGUAAGAGUUAAAUUUUAAGUUAAAAAUGUGAAUAUAAAUUUUUAAGGUGAAAUUUUAAAUUUAUAAAUUUUUAUUUUAUUUUUGUUGAAGCUCAAAAAUUUUAUUAAUAAACUAGGAUUAGAUACCCUAUUAUUUAAAAUGUAAUUGUUUUACUAGAGUAGUAGUAGUUAUGUUCUUGAAACUAAAAAAAUUUGGCGGUAUUUUAGUCUAUUCAGAGGAAUCUGUUCUAUAAUCGAUAAUCCACGAUGGACCUUUCUUAAAUUUGUUUUUCAGUUUAUAUACCGUCGUUAUUAGAAUAUUUUAUAAAAAUAAUAAUUUUCAAUAAUUUUUACAAAAAUUUAUAUCAGAUCAAGGUGUAGCUUAUAUUUAAGUAGAAAUGGAUUACAAUAAAAUUAUUUAAAUGGAUAUAAUAAUGAAAAAGUUAUUGAAAGUGGAUUUGAUAGUAAAAUUAUAGAGAUUAAUAAUUUAAUUUUAGCUCUAAAAUAUGUACACAUCGCCCGUCGCUCUUAUUUUAAGGUAAGAUAAGUCGUAACAUAGUAGAUGUACUGGAAAGUGUAUCUAGAAUG